Molecule: long non-coding RNA, 2849 nt
Organism: Xenopus laevis (African clawed frog)
Lineage: Eukaryota; Metazoa; Chordata; Amphibia; Anura; Pipidae
Exons: 3
Source: RefSeq, a predicted model, not a curated record
GCAUCUUGGCAGUUGGGAGGGUUUCUGUGGGGGCAGGUGAGAACCCAGGAUAAAAAAAUGCUGGCCAGAGGAUGAACGGAGCUGAGCAGCUGAGAGGAAGAAGGAGAGAGUUGGAGAAGCCAAAGGAGCCUGGGACAAGACAACAUGUGAGGAAUGCAGAACAGAGGGGAAGGCAGAGAUGAUGCUGGACUCUAUUCACCCUGCCUUUUUGCAUUGUUCAGGGUCAGACUGAGCCGGCGGGACACCGGGAUAAAACCCGGUGGGCCAACAGCCCUCAUGGGCCCCGGCAGCCCAGACCCGCUCACUGCUGGCAGAGCCUACAGAGCCUCCUUGCCGAUCAUCUCCCCCUGCAGCAGGAAGAAAUGGCGCAUACUGAAGAAGAAAAGGGUGCACGGUAGGUAAGAAACUUGUACGAGCUGAGAUGAAUCCUCCUCCCAAACAACAUGCCUUCUUUGUUCCUCCCAAGGAUGGCAUAAGGUGCCAAACUUUACAUACUGUAGGUGAGACAGCACAGAAAAUUAGGGACAGGUUUUCCCAACAUAGAUCCACAGUAAACACUCACAAUUCUGUACUUUUCCUGGGUCAUACUUCAGAAGAUUUGAGGUUUAGGGUCAUUCAACAUAUUCCUCAGCCUCGGAGAGGAGGUAACCGGAUUAUGAUUUUAAAAAAAGCAGAAGUACAAUGGAUACAUAGAUUAAAGACAUUAAAUCCCAAGGGAUCAAACAAGGACUUUGACCUGCAUUUGUUUGUUGGCUAAUCCAACUGAUAUAUUAUUGUUCUAGUCCUGGUUUAAUUUAAAUUUACUGUUGUGUUAAACCAUACAGUAUAUUAUAAAUUGUUUGUCAUUUGUUGCAUGUCCUUAUGGGAUGUCUGUUUAGGGGUUUGUUUGAUGAGUCAAUAAGCAUUUGGAGGUGGAUAGUUUGCCAAUCAACAAAAUGGCUCCAGUCAAUACAGUAUGGAAAAUAUCCGAGCCACAUGCUUCUGUGACAGAGUAACGCCGGUGACAUUAGCUCCGCUAUAUGUAGAUGCACAGGACUUCACAACUGGUGCUCUGAUGUGGGCAGGCACUACCAAGGGGAAAAAAACAUCUGAAAACUGACAUUUAAAGAGACAGUAAACUAUUUUCUCUAAGAUGGAGGAACCGUUACAGCAACUUGCUCUGGCUACAGUCCAGCUUCAACAGAGCCUGGUCGUGCAGCAGCUAUCCGCCAUGGUGACUCAACAGCUCUCCACAGAUUGUUAGUUGAUUGCUUUGCGGGAGUCUGUUGCCAUACAAGCAACUGCCUUACAAGCUACAACUACCAAAGCCAAGUUGUUGGCCGAGGCAGUACAGUAGCUCAUUCCAGGACAGCAGUCUGGUACAUUGGCCCAGGUAACCAGGUAACCACCAGGACAAGUCAUUUUCUCCAAAAGUUGACUCCCACUGAUGUUGAGGCCUUUCAAGGACGAGGUUUCCCAUGGAGAUACUCACUGUCCAGGGUAUCCCAUUCAUGUCAAAGGUUAUGGCAGGGGUAUGCAAAUUGUUCCAGAUAAAGCAGUUACGUACCUCUGUCUACCAUCCUCAGACAGACGGCUUUGUUGAACAUUUUAAUAAGACCUUAAAAAUAAUGCUUAAGCAAGUGGUACAAAAAGAUGGUAAGGAUUGGGAUUGUUUAUUACCUGCUCUUUUAUUAGCUAUUUGGGAGGUGCCUCAGGCAUCCACAGGGUUCUCCCCCUUUGAGUUGGUGUACAGAUGCAAGCCCCAGGGACUGCUUGAUAUUGUAAAAGAGACUUGGGAGAGUUAAGCUACUCCCCACAAAUGAGGGAAAGGAUUUCAGAAGUGAUGCCUCUGGUUAAGGAGCACUUGCAAAGGUAUACCAUUUGUCCGCUAAGCUGAGGCAAUACCAGGUGGGAGAAUAGAGUGGCAGUGUUGAUCCCCACGGUAGAGAGCAAAUUCUUGGCCAGAUGGCAGGGCCCAUUUGGAAUUGUAGAAAAUGUGGGUGAGGUUAACAGGUGAGAAAUGCGAAAAGGCCAAAAUGUUAAGUCUCCCCAUAAUAAAGAGGAUUUGGAUUUUUAUUAAGUCCUGUGAGUGCAGAUCUCUUCAACAACGAGAGUAAGUAAAUGGCCACUCUUUGCAUGUUGUGCAUAUAGGUACUCAUUGUAUUUCAUCCAAAUGAGUAGUUGGCCCAUGCACUGCCCUUUACCCUGCAAGUGCAAGUGCCUCCCAUUUGCUUCUUCAGUAUUGACUAAAAUGUUUAUCAUUCAAAAUAAUCCCGAGAAUGAAUGUUGCACUGUGUGCAAAAAAGCAUAAAUACCAAAAUUUUUGCACUUUUCACAAAUAAUCACGUGGAGAUACAAGCCCUUUUAUCAUUAGCUAUAGGGCCCUAUAUAUCAUAUUGUGCAAAAUUAUUACUGCCAGAAAAAAGGCAUGGGUUUCAUUUUAAACCACCUGAACAACAGAUUUGACCUGUUAUUUUACACUACUUCAAUAGUAAACAUUCAAUUGCAAGUACUGUAAGUAUAAAAGAAAAGAAAAGCAGAAACAAUGAUGGAUGAAUUUUCCCAUAACAUUUUCAAACGGCUGCUUCUGUUACACCAAAUUAUACACAGAGAUACACAAUUGCUGAAUAUUAUUACAUAGCUUGAGUAGUACGCUGAUUUUUUGCAAAGUGAUGCUCAAGUGAUGUGUGGUGUACAUUGGGUUGUGUUUACUAACAUUGGAGAUAAUGCCCAUAGGAAACAAUCUGAUCUUUGCUUUUGUUUUCUAACUUGUAGGUGACUGUUCAAAUCUAAUUAUAGAAUUAAUUGCCUUCUUUUGACUCUGUCCAGCUUCCAAGUGCUGUGUACAUAUAAAUGUAUUGUUCUUGCUA